Molecule: long non-coding RNA, 444 nt
Organism: Capsicum annuum
Lineage: Eukaryota; Viridiplantae; Streptophyta; Magnoliopsida; Solanales; Solanaceae
Exons: 2
Source: RefSeq, a predicted model, not a curated record
UAUCAAAAGCAGACACUAUAAGUAUAGAAGUUAUAGCAACUUUCCAUAAAUAUUGUUUACCAAAAAAAAAAACUUUCCAUAAACAUUCAGAACUCUCUGCUAUAAAUUGAGAGAAAGAAGUUUGAAUAAGACACAAUCCACAACCUCAAAAUAUUAACCAAAUGGCAAAGACCAGCAUCUCAAAAUCUCUCUUCGUCAUCCUUUUCAUUGUGCUACUUUUCUCAGUUGAGGAGAUAGGGGUUGAGGCAAAAGAAUGUCAAGAAAAGCUGACGCAUAAUCAUUGUGAUUAUAGCAAAGCAGACCUGGUAUGCUUGCACGAUUGCCAAUAUAGACACGGUCAAAGUGUCAAAACCAGUUGCACCAAGUAUUGUAUUUGUACCUGGGAAUGUAAUUAAUGUCUUAAGUACUAGUUUAUACUAUAUAAAGUACACUCCUAUUCUCAAA